RNAcentral lists this ribosomal RNA (429 nucleotides) under Bacillota bacterium. RNAcentral's name for it is "Firmicutes bacterium partial 16S ribosomal RNA". It matches the Rfam family "Bacterial small subunit ribosomal RNA", at positions 355 to 776 of the family's 1533-position model. Lineage: Bacteria; Bacillati; Bacillota. The record is from RNAcentral.
UGGGGAAUCUUGCGCAAUGCGCGAAAGCGUGACGCAGCAACGCCGCGUGGGGGAAGAAGGCCUUCGGGUUGUAAACCCCUUUCAGUUGGGACGAAGCUUCUCCGGUGAAUAGCCGGCCGGAGUGACGGUACCUUCAGAAGAAGCCCCGGCUAACUACGUCCCAGCAGCCGCGGUAAUACGUAGGGGGCUAGCGUUUUCCGGAAUUAUUGGGCAUAAAGCGCGUGUAGGCGGCCCGGUAAGUCCGUUGUGAAAGUCGGGGGCUCAACCCUCGAAAGCCGGUGGAUACUGUCGGGCUCGGGUGCGGAAGAGGCGAGUGGAAUUCCUGGUGUAGCGGUGAAAUGCGCAGAUAUCAGGAGGAACACCGAUUGCGAAGGCAGCUCGCUGGGACGUUACUGACGCUGAGACGCGAAAGCGUGGGGAGCAAACAGG